CGGUUAAAAAGCUCGUAGUUGGAUCUCGGCGGGCAGGGGGUGGUUCGCUCUUCAGCGCUACUGCCCCGCUUUGCCCGUGUGAUUGGCGGAGGUUUCGGGGUGCUCUUCGUUGAGUGACUCGGAGCGCCGUCAGGUUUACUUUGAAAAAAUUAGAGUGCUCAAAGCAGGCUUUUCACGCUUGAAUAUUCGUGCAUGGAAUAAUGGAAUAGGAACUCGUUUCUAUUUUGUUGGUUUUCGGAAAUCGAGUUAAUGAUUAACAGGGACAAUUGGGGGCAUUAGUAUUCAGACGACAGAGGUGAAAUUCUUGGACCGUCUGAAGACUGACUACUGCGAAAGCAUUUGCCAAGAGUGUUUUCAUUAAUCAAGAACGAAAGUUAGAGGUUCGAAGGCGAUCAGAUACCGCCCUAGUUCUAACCAUAAACGAUGCCAGCUAGCGAUCUGCCCGAGUUUUUUUUUGUA
This 459-nucleotide ribosomal RNA is filed under the name uncultured marine eukaryote. RNAcentral's name for it is "partial 18S ribosomal RNA". It matches the Rfam family "Eukaryotic small subunit ribosomal RNA", at positions 616 to 1074 of the family's 1831-position model. The record is from RNAcentral.